GGUUGCGAUCCUACCAGCACUAAUGCACCGGAUCCCAUCAGAACUCCGCAGUUAAGCGUGCUUGGGCGAGAGUAGUACUAGGAUGGGUGACCCCCUGGGAAGUCCUCGUGUUGCAACCC
Molecule: ribosomal RNA, 119 nt
Filed under: Helianthus annuus (common sunflower)
Lineage: Eukaryota; Viridiplantae; Streptophyta; Magnoliopsida; Asterales; Asteraceae
Source: RNAcentral